CGGGACACGUGGUAUCCUGUCUGAAUAUGGGGGGACCAUCCUCCAAGGCUAAAUACUCCUGACUGACCGAUAGUGAACCAGUACCGUGAGGGAAAGGCGAAAAGAACCCCGGCGAGGGGAGUGAAAAAGAACCUGAAACCGUGUACGUACAAGCAGUGGGAGCACGCUUAGGCGUGUGACUGCGUACCUUUUGUAUAAUGGGUCAGCGACUUAUAUUCUGUAGCAAGGUUAACCGAAUAGGGGAGCCGAAGGGAAACCGAGUCUUAACUGGGCGUUAAGUUGCAGGGUAUAGACCCGAAACCCGGUGAUCUAGCCAUGGGCAGGUUGAAGGUUGGGUAACACUAACUGGAGGACCGAACCGACUAAUGUUGAAAAAUUAGCGGAUGACUUGUGGCUGGGGGUGAAAGGCCAAUCAAACCGGGAGAUAGCUGGUUCUCCCCGAAAGCUAUUUAGGUAGCGCCUCGUGAAUUCAUCUCCGGGGGUAGAGCACUGUUUCGGCAAGGGGGUCAUCCCGACUUACCAACCCGAUGCAAACUGCGAAUACCGGAGAAUGUUAUCACGGGAGACACACGGCGGGUGCUAACGUCCGUCGUGAAGAGGGAAACAACCCAGACCGCCAGCUAAGGUCCCAAAGUCAUGGUUAAGUGGGAAACGAUGUGGGAAGGCCCAGACAGCCAGGAUGUUGGCUUAGAAGCAGCCAUCAUUUAAAGAAAGCGUAAUAGCUCACUGGUCGAGUCGGCCUGCGCGGAAGAUGUAACGGGGCUAAACCAUGCACCGAAGCUGCGGCAGCGACGCUGAUGCGUUGUUGGGUAGGGGAGCGUUCUGUAAGCCUGCGAAGGUGUGCUGUGAGGCAUGCUGGAGGUAUCAGAAGUGCGAAUGCUGACAUAAGUAACGAUAAAGCGGGUGAAAAGCCCGCUCGCCGGAAGACCAAGGGUUCCUGUCCAACGUUAAUCGGGGCAGGGUGAGUCGACCCCUAAGGCGAGGCCGAAAGGCGUAGUCGAUGGGAAACAGGUUAAUAUUCCUGUACUUGGUGUUACUGCGAAGGGGGGACGGAGAAGGCUAUGUUGGCCGGGCGACGGUUGUCCCGGUUUAAGCGUGUAGGCUGGUUUUCCAGGCAAAUCCGGAAAAUCAAGGCUGAGGCGUGAUGACGAGGCACUACGGUGCUGAAGCAACAAAUGCCCUGCUUCCAGGAAAAGCCUCUAAGCAUCAGGUAACAUCAAAUCGUACCCCAAACCGACACAGGUGGUCAGGUAGAGAAUACCAAGGCGCUUGAGAGAACUCGGGUGAAGGAACUAGGCAAAAUGGUGCCGUAACUUCGGGAGAAGGCACGCUGAUAUGUAGGUGAAGCGACUUGCUCGUGGAGCUGAAAUCAGUCGAAGAUACCAGCUGGCUGCAACUGUUUAUUAAAAACACAGCACUGUGCAAACACGAAAGUGGACGUAUACGGUGUGACGCCUGCCCGGUGCCGGAAGGUUAAUUGAUGGGGUUAGCGCAAGCGAAGCUCUUGAUCGAAGCCCCGGUAAACGGCGGCCGUAACUAUAACGGUCCUAAGGUAGCGAAAUUCCUUGUCGGGUAAGUUCCGACCUGCACGAAUGGCGUAAUGAUGGCCAGGCUGUCUCCACCCGAGACUCAGUGAAAUUGAACUCGCUGUGAAGAUGCAGUGUACCCGCGGCAAGACGGAAAGACCCCGUGAACCUUUACUAUAGCUUGACACUGAACAUUGAGCCUUGAUGUGUAGGAUAGGUGGGAGGCUUUGAAGUGUGGACGCCAGUCUGCAUGGAGCCGACCUUGAAAUACCACCCUUUAAUGUUU
Molecule: ribosomal RNA, 1812 nt
Filed under: Escherichia coli
Lineage: Bacteria; Pseudomonadati; Pseudomonadota; Gammaproteobacteria; Enterobacterales; Enterobacteriaceae
Description: partial 23S ribosomal RNA
Rfam family: Bacterial large subunit ribosomal RNA
Source: RNAcentral